CAGUAGUGAUGAUUCCACUCCUUUGGUCCGUGUUUCUGAAACAUGUGAUUGUCUGGAAUAUUCUGAUGCU
Molecule: small nucleolar RNA, 70 nt
Organism: Suncus etruscus (white-toothed pygmy shrew)
Lineage: Eukaryota; Metazoa; Chordata; Mammalia; Eulipotyphla; Soricidae
Product: small nucleolar RNA SNORD18
Exons: 1
Source: RefSeq, a predicted model, not a curated record